AUGUCUGAAGCCUGAAAUGUGGCAAGAGAUUGACCAGUUCAAGGGGGCCGAGUACUUUCGCAAGGCCCUUUUUUGGCACAUUGGCUGGACAGGGUUGGCAGCUUCAAACUCUAGAUCAUAUUGUUUGGCAUCAAAGAGGAGCCAUGCGGAGGUUCUUGUUUAAAGGAAGCUGUGGUAUUUGAAUGGACAUCAGCUCCACUUUCAGUAAAGCACAAAUAUUUGAAUAAGAAGAGAAACAUGAAAGACUGCAUCAAUAGAAUAUUCACAAGUAUGUCAGCACUGUUAUUGUAACCUUGUACUAUCCUCUCCCUUUCUGCGAUAUUUGUCAAUAUGCUGCUCACUUUUUCUCCCUGGCUGAACCUCUGCUUAACGUAGUUAAUAUAUGGACACCUUCAUAUGUUCUAAACUACGUCCAUGCAUCUUUUUUUGUGUCUCCAAUGCCUCUACCGUAGCUUAAUGUGCAGCCAACUAGCCAACCAGCCUCACUUAUUGUUGUUGUCAUUAAUAAUAUGACUCAAAAUAUUCCUGAUUUAUAUUUUUUAAAAACUAUUACCAUUUUUAUAACAAAGUACUGUGAAAUCUUAGAGCCUCAUACUCAUGAAAAAGCAGGUAUAAUAUUUUAAACUAUAAAACAAAUAUUCUCAAUUUGAUUUGAUUUUUUAUCAACAUGGAUGAUGUUUUACUAUUUCUGCAGUGUUUUCUAUAAAAAAAAAUAAAUAAACAAUUGUUUUAUUUUAUUUAAAACUUUUUAUUUCAAAGUAAAGAAUAUUUUGACAUUUUUCUCUGAGUCUGUUAAGAGUUUGCCUUGCCUCACCUUCACCUGACAUGUUGCGGUGAAGUCUUGUUUAAUGUCCAUUUAAUGCUUCCAGAGAUGUUUUGUAUCAUUGAUCUACCUUGUCAUUCUGCUGCAAGCCACAUUAAGCAUCUCUGCUUAUUCAGGAAGCACCCAAUACAACUGUGCACUGAACUUGCAGCAAAAGCAGAAGGGCUAUAUACAGAGCUAAAGAAAUAUAAUAGCAAUCCAUGAGUAAAACACUUUGUAGCCACCAGCUUUGGUCACAUACAUGAAAAAAAUGAAACUCUCAUGAUGUACCAGUGAUGCGGAACUUGUUACAAAGCAGGUAUUUAGUGAUGCUUUACACUAAUUUUGCAACUGUAGCUUCUGAGUGUGUUUUUUAGAUGUACAAGAAAUUUCAGAAAGUCUCCUAUCAUGAGACAACCACAUUUAUUUGCACACCAGAUAAAAAUGUGCAAAAGGCCUUAAAUAAAUCACCUUUUUUGCAGUAGCAUAAUAUCCCCCGAAAGGUUGCAGCAGUUUUCUAUGUUAUGCAGAAUUCGUUUUACCUCCCUUACUUUCAAAUGCACUCCUCACUGUCUGUACAGACAAAAUAUACUUGAGUCUUCAUCUAGACUUGUUUAAGAUGAUUCCAGUUAAACUUUCAUAUUUUCAGAAGAAUGCACAUAUUGGCAAGUCUAGGUGAGAAGUUGUUUCUUUUUAAAUUAGUUUCUGAUUUGUGAAGAUUAACACACAUCUGUAUUGCUAAAUGAUGUACUCUUGCUUUUCCCAUUUUGAACAGUGGUUAAGAGACAGUGGCGUCAUUUUAUAUUUAUGUCAGAAGAAAACAGGAAUUUAUGUAAUACUUAAUUGUACAAUCUGUAAACUUGCUCAUUUUAAAAUGUUAAAUAAAUAAAUUAGUAAAUCUUUA
Molecule: long non-coding RNA, 1706 nt
Organism: Girardinichthys multiradiatus
Lineage: Eukaryota; Metazoa; Chordata; Actinopteri; Cyprinodontiformes; Goodeidae
Exons: 2
Source: RefSeq, a predicted model, not a curated record